AAUCUUCCGCAAUGGACGCAAGUCUGACGGAGCAACGCCGCGUGAGUGAUGAAGGUUUUCGGAUCGUAAAACUCUUUUGCUAGGGAAAGACAAGUAUCGGAGUAGCUGCCGGUACCGUGACGGUACCUGUGGAGAAAGCCACGGCUAACUACUUGCGAGCAGCCGCGGUAAUACGUAGGUGGCAAGCGUUGUCCGGAUUUUUUGGGCGUAAAGCGCGCGCAGGCGGUCUUUUAAGUCUGAUGUUAAAUCUUAAAGCUUAACUGUAAGCGGUCAUUGGAAACUGGGAGACUUGAGUGCAGAAGAGGAGAGUGGAAUUCCAUGUGUAGCGGUGAAAUGCGUAGAGAUAUGGAGGAACACCAGUGGCGAAGGCGACUCUCUGGUCUGCAACUGACGCUGAGGCGCGAAAGCGUGGGGAUCAAACA
Molecule: ribosomal RNA, 422 nt
Filed under: uncultured bacterium
Lineage: Bacteria
Description: partial 16S ribosomal RNA
Rfam family: Bacterial small subunit ribosomal RNA
Source: RNAcentral